This 358-nucleotide long non-coding RNA is filed under the name Lactuca sativa (garden lettuce). Its description in RNAcentral is "long non-coding RNA (LSAT_LNC001089)". The record is from RNAcentral. Lineage: Eukaryota; Viridiplantae; Streptophyta; Magnoliopsida; Asterales; Asteraceae.
UCAAAGCAGACGAGAGCUCAUCGAAAGUCAGCAUUCUACUGCUUUCUUCGUCCCUAACCUCCUUCCCUCUUUCCCCCACUUACGCAUCAACUCCAAGUGCAUAAACACAAAUACUCCUUCCUACACGUACAUCCAAAAUUUUUUAUUCUUUAUUGUUCAUAUCGUUAUCGUCUGAAAUCAACUUGAAUUCACUGGUUUCAGCUUGAUAUUCGCACCGUUUGACGCAGAUUGAUGCAUAUGAAUCAUCGCUUGUAUGUAAAAUUCUACUUCAUUCGGAGAAACUAAGGUUAAAAUUUCAAGGAUCAGACAAGUUUUUGUGUGUGUUUAUUUUGCUUCACUUCUGGCCUAUCUCUUUGUA